AUGUUGGACAGGAAAUGGCUUGAUUCCAUUAGAUCAAAACACGAUAAGUUUGAUAUGUGUUGGGAGUCCGGGGAGCUCCAGGAGUGCCAAUGGACUAAACAAGGAUUCUUCUCGGUCCAUGCAGAAGAAGAAGAACAUAGUUCUUCUGGGUUCGUGCAGAAGGAGACAAACAGAGAAGAUCGUGUGAGAACUGUGCGCAGAAGAAAGUGA
This is a non-coding RNA of Vicia faba (fava bean), 210 nucleotides long. The record is from the annotation of a GenBank genome assembly. Lineage: Eukaryota; Viridiplantae; Streptophyta; Magnoliopsida; Fabales; Fabaceae.